GUGGCCUUGAACUCAUGGACCCAUGAGAUCAUAACCUGAGCUGAAGUCAGGCACUUAACCGACUGAGCCACCCAGGUGCCCCAUGAAUCUCAUUUUAAUAUUUCUUUUUGUACAUUGCAUUACUUCAAGAGGCCAUAUAUUUGCAAAGUGUGUAUCAACCACAGAUAUUUGUUGAGGCUUCUGUAUUCGUGGGCAGUGUGAAGAGGGGAUUUGUGCCAGAAAUGAACCUUUCAGGAUUUUAGAUGUUCCGUACUGUAAGCUAACUUAAAUCACAGAUAAAAUGUAUGUUUAUUGUUAGAAACUAAGCAUUCUCCUUCAGCAGAAGAAACGUUAUGGGAAACCUAAGGCAUAUUGUAAUUAGUUAUCUAUAAUGUAAACAACUUUCCACAUAGUGAUGGAAGCAUUUAUGUCUGGCUAAAACUACAACACUGAACAAUUUGGCUUUAUUUGUGUAAGUGUCCAAUUGAACAUAUUACUCUCAUUUUUGCCCUUGGUCUGUUAAUGAUCACUGUCUUGAAGUGGAUUAAAAUAACAUGGAGAGGCAAACUUGGAAAGCCCCGUGAUGUUCAACUAUGAGAAGCUGCUUCCCUCAGGGUUUGUACAAGGAACGAAUUAGACCGUGCACAAAGGAGAACUUUGCAAACAUAAGGUAAGGUUAUUAGUUAAUUAUUUUGGCAACCAAGAAUUCUUAUGUGGGCACACUUCUAAAAUCCACAUAUUGUAAUUCACAUAAUAAUCACAAUAAGACCUAGCUUUUCUUUAGUCCAAAGUGCCAAGAAUUAUGGAAAGUGCUUUGAUGAAUUAGCACACUUAAUGCUCUGCGCACACCUACAAAGUAGAUAUGAGUAAUCCUCAUUUUCCUUUUGAAAAAGCUAAGCGGUGCGGCUUUGAAUUUCAAAAAUCUAAUUUUCUGUCUGUUUGUUUUUUUUAACUUUCCUUUUUUGUAAAACUAUUAGGUUUGCCUGAAAACUGAAAAUAAAGUUGGAGUCUUGAGGGCUCCUUAAUUGAAUUUUUAUUGUUUUUCCAAUGUUCCAUAACUGUUUACCUCUGAAUGAAAAGGAGAUUGAGCAGGCAGAGGGAAGGGCUGCUCCUGCCUGACUUAUGUUGCCACCGGAAGAGACCCUGUCCUGCAAAUCGCACGGGUACCAGCUGCUCUGUAGUCGCUCAGACUGGAAAUGGAGUCAUCAUACUUGCCACAGAAGACUCUUUCACUUCUACAUGGAAGCUUACAGAGGAUAAGCAAUUUGCCUGAACGUCACAAAGAAUAAACGGUCAGCAAACUUUUGUUUUCCCAUUAUGGUAAACUAGACAUACUGAUUCUCCACUGAGCACAGAUACAACACCUGGAAAUACUAUGAAAGUGUCUGCUCCAAGGCACUAGAUUGUGAAUAAGAUGGCGAAGACUGGCCUGGACCGGAUGUGUAGGUGAGAGAAGACUGGUCAGGUUAACCCACAGUCCAGGACCACUUCUCCUAAAGUGGUCUGUUUGUUGAUCCUUAAGUGAGCAACAGAGAGGCUGAGAUGCUGAAAAACACUUUGGACAUCUUUCCAGGCCGAGAAACCUGGAUUUGAAGUCCUGACCCUUUGAUGGGGUGCUGUGCCCCAGAACUAAGUACUGAUAUUCAACAAGGCCCUGCAGGAGAUCCUUGACCCUUCAUAUCAUCCCAACUCCUGAAACUGAUCCUUGGGUGACACUGCUCCCAGCUUCCUGGCAGAAACAAAAUGAAAUCUUGUUGGAGAUAAUGCACUGGCUUAUUUGUUUUUUUGUAGUUUUCCAAAGAUAUUUGCUAUAUAAAAUGUUCAGCAAAAAAUAAAAAAGUCAUGAGACAAAUGAAAAGGACAAUGUGAACAAGGAAGAGCUAAAAAAUGGAAAAGAUAGCAGAAGCAGGGGCUCCGUAUGUUGGAGUUUGCUGAUGCAAAAUAAAAAUGACUUUAUAUUGUAUUCAGGAAGUUAAGAUGAGAUUGAGAAACUUGGCAAAUAAUUUUAAAAUAUGAAAAAAAUACAAACAGAAAUGAAAGAAUCAAAAAAAAAAUACAAAUUAAGAACCCACAGGGUGAAUUGAAAAGCAACUUGGAUACCACUGAGGAGUAUCUAAUGAGUAUCUAAUGUUCUAGGAGUAUCUAAUGUUCCCACCUAGAUGGGAACAAAAUACACAGAAUUAAAAAGAGAGAGAAAGGUGGAAAAGAUUCAGUAUAAAUGUAAUAAUCACAAAGGAUACACCAAGAAGGCUGAUAUGUGUGGCUUGGAGUCCCAGAAUGAAAGGAAAGAUGGAGUGGGGCACAAGAUAUAUUUGAAGACAUGAUAAUUGAAUAUGUCUCACCAUUUCAAGAAGAUUUAACAAAUCAUAAGGAUGAUAAACAAACAGAAAUUCUGGGCCAAAUCGCAUCAAACAUUAGUCAAUAAACCUUAGAAAAAUAAUGAGAAAAACAUGAAAGGCAGCCAGAGAAACAUCAACAGAUUUGACUUCACAGGAGCAAGAAUUAGAUUGACAUCUGAAUUGUCAACAGAAACACUGAGAACAGAAAAUUAUAGGUCAUUUGUACUCAGCAUAGAUGUACAAAUACUAAAUAAAAUAGCCCUAAGCUAGUCCAAUAGUAUCUUAAAAGUGUUCUGUAAUACACCCAUGUUGUAUUUAUCCCAGGAAUGAGAGAUUAUUUAAGAUUUAAAAAACAAUCAAUGUAACUUACUUUAUUUAUAGAUUAAAGGGAAAAAAAAAGUAACUUGAUUUUUCUCAUAAUCAAGUUGUAGGAAAAGUAUUUAAUAAAUUUUAAAAUAUAUGUGAAUAUAUUUAUAUAUAAAUGUUUAUGAAAUCUUAGGUUUCUAGAAAAAGAAGGGCAUUUCCUAAGUUUUUCUCCCCCCACACCCCUGCAAAA
Molecule: long non-coding RNA, 2874 nt
Organism: Felis catus (domestic cat)
Lineage: Eukaryota; Metazoa; Chordata; Mammalia; Carnivora; Felidae
Exons: 3
Source: RefSeq, a predicted model, not a curated record